RNAcentral lists this ribosomal RNA (1372 nucleotides) under uncultured bacterium. RNAcentral describes it as "bacterial SSU rRNA". It matches the Rfam family "Bacterial small subunit ribosomal RNA", at positions 28 to 1381 of the family's 1533-position model. The record is from RNAcentral.
GAUGAACGCUGGCGGCGUGCCUAAUACAUGCAAGUCGAGCGAACGGACGAGAAGCUUGCUUCUCUGAUGUUAGCGGCGGACGGGUGAGUAACACGUGGAUAACCUACCUAUAAGACUGGGAUAACUUCGGGAAACCGGAGCUAAUACCGGAUAAUAUUUUGAACCGCAUGGUUCAAAAGUGAAAGACGGUCUUGCUGUCACUUAUAGAUGGAUCCGCGCUGCAUUAGCUAGUUGGUAAGGUAACGGCUUACCAAGGCAACGAUGCAUAGCCGACCUGAGAGGGUGAUCGGCCACACUGGAACUGAGACACGGUCCAGACUCCUACGGGAGGCAGCAGUAGGGAAUCUUCCGCAAUGGGCGAAAGCCUGACGGAGCAACGCCGCGUGAGUGAUGAAGGUCUUCGGAUCGUAAAACUCUGUUAUUAGGGAAGAACAUAUGUGUUAGUAACUGUGCACAUCUUGACGGUACCUAAUCAGAAAGCCACGGCUAACUACGUGCCAGCAGCCGCGGUAAUACGUAGGUGGCAAGCGUUAUCCGGAAUUAUUGGGCGUAAAGCGCGCGUAGGCGGUUUUUUAAGUCUGAUGUGAAAGCCCACGGCUCAACCGUGGAGGGUCAUUGGAAACUGGAAAACUUGAGUGCAGAAGAGGAAAGUGGAAUUCCAUGUGUAGCGGUGAAAUGCGCAGAGAUAUGGAGGAACACCAGUGGCGAAGGCGACUUUCUGGUCUGUAACUGACGCUGAUGUGCGAAAGCGUGGGGAUCAAACAGGAUUAGAUACCCUGGUAGUCCACGCCGUAAACGAUGAGUGCUAAGUGUUAGGGGGUUUCCGCCCCUUAGUGCUGCAGCUAACGCAUUAAGCACUCCGCCUGGGGAGUACGACCGCAAGGUUGAAACUCAAAGGAAUUGACGGGGACCCGCACAAGCGGUGGAGCAUGUGGUUUAAUUCGAAGCAACGCGAAGAACCUUACCAAAUCUUGACAUCCUUUGACAACUCUAGAGAUAGAGCCUUCCCCUUCGGGGGACAAAGUGACAGGUGGUGCAUGGUUGUCGUCAGCUCGUGUCGUGAGAUGUUGGGUUAAGUCCCGCAACGAGCGCAACCCUUAAGCUUAGUUGCCAUCAUUAAGUUGGGCACUCUAAGUUGACUGCCGGUGACAAACCGGAGGAAGGUGGGGAUGACGUCAAAUCAUCAUGCCCCUUAUGAUUUGGGCUACACACGUGCUACAAUGGACAAUACAAAGGGCAGCGAAACCGCGAGGUCAAGCAAAUCCCAUAAAGUUGUUCUCAGUUCGGAUUGUAGUCUGCAACUCGACUACAUGAAGCUGGAAUCGCUAGUAAUCGUAGAUCAGCAUGCUACGGUGAAUACGUUCCCGGGUCU